RNAcentral lists this ribosomal RNA (253 nucleotides) under uncultured bacterium. Its description in RNAcentral is "partial 16S ribosomal RNA". It matches the Rfam family "Bacterial small subunit ribosomal RNA", at positions 524 to 776 of the family's 1533-position model. The record is from RNAcentral.
UACGUAGGGUGCAAGCGUUAAUCGGAAUUACUGGGCGUAAAGCGCACGUAGGUGGUUUGUUAAGUCAGCUGUGAAAUCCCCGGGCUCAACCUGGGCACUGCAGUUGGAACUGGCAAGCUAGAGUAGGGUAGAGGGGUGUGGAAUUCCAGGUGUAGCGGUGAAAUGCGUAGAUAUCUAGAGGAACAUCAGUGGCGAAGGCGACACCCUGGACUCAUACUGACACUGAGGUGCGAAAGCGUGGGGAGCAAACAGG